This 211-nucleotide ribosomal RNA is filed under the name uncultured soil bacterium. RNAcentral describes it as "partial 16S ribosomal RNA". It matches the Rfam family "Bacterial small subunit ribosomal RNA", at positions 27 to 238 of the family's 1533-position model. The record is from RNAcentral.
GAUUGAACGCUGGCGGAAUGCUUUACACAUGCAAGUCGAACGGCAGCACGGGGGCAACCCUGGUGGCGAGUGGCGAACGGGUGAGUAACACAUCGGAACGUGCCCAGUCGUGGGGGAUAACUACGCGAAAGCGUAGCUAAUACCGCAUACGAACUCUGGUUGAAAGCGGGGGACUCGCAAGAGCCUCGCGCGAUUGGAGCGGCCGAUGGCA